This 383-nucleotide ribosomal RNA is filed under the name uncultured eukaryote. RNAcentral's name for it is "partial 18S ribosomal RNA". It matches the Rfam family "Eukaryotic small subunit ribosomal RNA", at positions 592 to 976 of the family's 1831-position model. The record is from RNAcentral.
CAAUAGCGUAUAUUAAAGUUGUUGCAGUUAAAAAGCUCGUAGUUGGAUUUCUGGUAGGAGCGACCGUGCCGAACUUGAUUGUUCGAGUAUUGUGUUGUCUUCAGCCAUCCUCGUGGAGAACUUUUCCAACAUUAACUUGUUGGGAUUGGGACCCGCGUCGUUUACUGUGAAAAAAUUAGAGUGUUUAAAGCAGGCAUUAGCUUGAAUACAUUAGCAUGGAAUAAUAAGAUAGGACUUUGGUACUAUUUUGUUGGUUUGCAUACCAAAUUAAUGAUCAACAGGAACAGUUUGAGGAUAUUCGUAUGAACAUGUCAGAGGUGAAAUUCUUGGAUUUUGAUCAGACGAACUACUGCGAAAGCAUUUAUCAAGGAUGUUUUCAUUAA